This is a long non-coding RNA of Camelus dromedarius (Arabian camel), 615 nucleotides long. RefSeq lists it as uncharacterized. The record is from RefSeq and is a predicted model, not a curated record. The transcript has 3 exons. NCBI's taxonomy places the organism in Eukaryota, Metazoa, Chordata, Mammalia, Artiodactyla, Camelidae.
GUUAGUUCCCUGACCUCUCCUUCGGCCUGCAGAACCCCCACGGAACUUGCAGCAGCUCGUGAUUUAAUUCCUAACUGAGCUGGAGGCCUGAACAGAGCCCUGACCUGUGGUCUGUGGGAGGGCCGCCACCGUGACCCGCUGACUAGAUCCCCUCCCGAUCUGGCCCCUCGGCCCAGGUCUUACUGUGGACCAAGACCCCAGGAUUGUUUGAAAAGAUGCAUCUCAUAAGCUUUGGUGGCAGGAAUGGACUCAGCCUCUAUCACCACUACAAUCCGCAUGGAGUUCUGGAAGGUCUGAAAACAUCCAUGCAGGAAACAACCAGGGGAGAGGUUGCCAGGAGACUCUUCUGCUGGGAAGGCUCUGCAGAAAGCAGACAGGCGGAGAGAGCCCGCGCUGGAGGCAGAGACGUCACUUACACACGCUGGCGCUGCGGCCAGUGGACACGAACCCAGCGCUCCUCCUGAGCACAGACGUGUUAAGAUCUGAUGCCAAGUUCAGAGGAGGCUUGAGCUCUGCCUGUUUAACUGAGUCUGCAAAACUGCAGAACCUCUAGUGAAAAUAAAUUCCUCCCAAGGGAAGGGUGAGAGAAACUUCUGGGUUGAACUUGGCAUCUAA